GAUGAACGCUGGCGGCGUGCCUAAUACAUGCAAGUCGAACGAAGCUUUUUUAACUGGUGCUUGCACCGACUUAAACAACUGAGUGGCGAACGGGUGAGUAACACGUGGGUAACCUGCCCCAAAGCGGGGGAUAACAUUUGGAAACAGAUGCUAAUACCGCAUAACCACAGAAACCACAUGGUUUCUGUGUCAAAGAUGGUUUCGGCUAUCACUUUGGGAUGGACCCGCGGCGUAUUGGCUAGUUGGUAAGGUAAUGGCUUACCAAGGCAAUGAUACGUAGCCGAACUGAGAGGUUGAUCGGCCACAUUGGGACUGAGACACGGCCCAAACACCUACGGGAGGCAGCAGUAAGGAAUCUUCCACAAUGGGCGCAAGCCUGAUGGAGCAACACCGCGUGAGUGAAGAAGGGUUUCGGCUCGUAAAACUCUGUUGUUAAAGAAGAACGUAUCUAAGAGUAACUGCUUAGGUAGUGACGGUAUUUAACCAGAAAGCCACGGCUAACUACGUGCCAGCCGCCGCAGUAA
Molecule: ribosomal RNA, 524 nt
Filed under: uncultured bacterium
Lineage: Bacteria
Description: partial 16S ribosomal RNA
Rfam family: Bacterial small subunit ribosomal RNA
Source: RNAcentral